This is a long non-coding RNA of Macaca fascicularis (crab-eating macaque), 1789 nucleotides long. The record is from Ensembl. Lineage: Eukaryota; Metazoa; Chordata; Mammalia; Primates; Cercopithecidae.
GGCAUGCAAAUUCUAUGUGCUCAUAUGCAUAGUUGUCUUUGUUGUUAUUAUUAGGAGAACCAUGGCUUUCUAUAGCUUCUUAAACAGGUUCAACAUCCAAGAUGGUUAAGAACUGGUCUAAAUGGUUUCUAAACCUCUCUAAGCUUAGCUAUUCCACAGGGUUCCAUAAUUCAUCUAGCCUUUUACAACCCCUUAGAGAUUCUUUCUCCUUAGCAGGCUCUUUUGUGGGAUUCUGCUGCGAACUGUUGAGUGGACAACAAUUAUUGUCUAUUGAGAAGGAAACAUGAAUCAUAUUAUCAUUCAACCUUCCUUGGUUUACCUGGUCAGAUGAUACUGGCUAAAACACAAAUACAUUCCAGACUGAAAUACAGCAGUUUGGUCCUGCAUCAGAUCGUCUGAUGUUUGCGGAGGCUUUUGUCUCCUGCCAGAGACCUCUUUCUCUGUUCUGCUGAGCUUUCUGCAGUAAGAACUCACUUGUGCUGACCACACUAAUAUGCAGUUUGGAUUCUGAAGUCAGCCAGGUCGACCCAGGUAUGGUGUGGAGGGGAGGGAUAUUGCUGGAUGUAUUUGACUGAGGCUUCUCUGUAUUUGUUCAGGGAUCUUUUCUCCCCAAAGGAAACAUUUCUCUUAGGAUUCCCUGGCUUCACGAAUUAGAGCAUCUUAUUCACUGCCUGUGACCUUGUCAACAUGUGUCAACAGGUACCUCUACUCUGCCUCCCACUCCAGGGGUCUUGUCUUCUCCUAAGUAGAAUCUCUGGGUAGGGAUUGCUGAUUAUAUUCCAUUGUGUCCACUAGAGAGCCUGGUACCAGGCUUUGCACACAUAUGACAAGAAGAGUAAAGAAUUGGUGUAAGGAAACCAUACAAGUCAUGUUUUAGUUUAUUAGCACUGAGAUCCCUGAAAGCUAUGGCCAGUUUUAAAUUCUUGCAUCAUUUUCGAAAAUCAAUAUAAGGGUUGUCCAAUCAACUUGAAUAACAAACAGGAUCAUCCCUCUGGGAUGGCUUCCAGCUUUAAAUUUUAAGAACAGCCACAACAAAACCCUGAUAUAUUAAAACCUGGAAGCACAAAUACUACGAAUGAUAAGGUGAUUGCAUUCAUAUUCCAGGUUUUUCUGAGAAUGUAGGCAUAGGAGAAGAGGCAGGAAAAAGAAAUAGAAGGGGAGGAAGAAAUGGCAGAAACUGGAAGAAAAGAAGAGAGCAAAACAAGGGGAACAAAGAAACAAAGAGGAAUCAGAUGGAAAGUGAGUCUGUACUGUAACCAGCUACUGCUGGGUUGAAAUUCAGUGUCAUUAGCAUGCAGCUAUUUCUCACAGCAAGUACCCCCCAAAGAAGGAAAUAAACCAGCAAAUGAAAGUAACAGGAGUAUAAAUCACUUAGCCAGUACUUAUGGAGACUUUAUCCCAUAUUAGACUCCUGUAUAUAUCACAUCAGGAUUAGUGUUAAGUCUCUGAAAUGAAACAUCAAUAAGAAGACCACACGGUGCGGACUGUACCCCCAACUAAUAUUUCAGUUCAGUUUUAAUUAUCAUGUUCAUCUGGCAGCAGCAUGGUGCCUGUAAAUAGAAACGGGUCAUGAGGGGCUUGGGCUCUUGUCCUGGAAUAUCAUUACAUGACCUUGGUUGGCCAAGUUCUGUGCCUUGGUUUCCUCAUUUGUAAAAUGUAAAUGAGAAUCCUCUGCUCUGCUUAUUUCACAGAGGUGUUAGAAGGAUGAAAAGUGAAAAUACACACACACACACACACACACACACAGACACGCUUGGAUGAGUAUAAAAUGCCAGAAAAAUGUAAAAUU